UCCAAGAUGCCAUAUACCGGUUUUCUAGUAUUCUACCUUCCACAGCCAGGCUGCCAGCAGUAAGCAGUCUAGUUCCAUCCACAGAGAUAUACAGACUUUAAAGAAAUUAAUCGGAGAAAGAAAUCUGGACUCAUGAAUGCAUAAUAAAGUUCAGAUAAUAUGGCCCGUCUGAAAUACUGCUGGAAGAUGAGCGAAAAAUGUCAAGGAAUCAUCAACAAC
Molecule: long non-coding RNA, 219 nt
Organism: Eurytemora carolleeae
Lineage: Eukaryota; Metazoa; Arthropoda; Copepoda; Calanoida; Temoridae
Exons: 2
Source: RefSeq, a predicted model, not a curated record